AUCUUCCCUUUUAAGCUUUCAAUUCUCUGGCACAAGAAUGAAGAAAUCUGAAUCAGACCAACUGAAGCAAAGCCUUUUUUCUGCAGCCUUGUAAAAACAUAGGAGGGGUUUGCAGUAUGAGCUCUGUGUUAUGAGGAGUGACUUAAGACAAGCUUCACCAGUACUGGUCUCAGCACAGACUAAGGCACAGUCUUCAUAACCCAGCCUGUGGAGGAGAGACUGUGCACCAGCUCAUCUUCAAUGACUCAAAACAAGACAAGACAUGGAAAGACAAGCCUGGAGCUUAUGUAAAAAUUUCUCAGUUGCUCCAUGGAGAAAUUCCAUUGAGACAUCCUCAUUUUCAUCCAGCCACUGUAUGACAAAUGGUUCAAACCACCUGAAAAUCAAAAGCAAUUUUGCAAAGUAAAGUUGGUAGAUUUCAUAAAGAUCCCAAGAGGAGAAAUGUUAUAAUACCCAGCAGUUUGGCACCUUGUGUUUUCAGGUAUGUUUUACUUGCUAAAGAUUUCAACAACUCUGGAAAAAUUUUUGUCACCAAAGUGCUGCAGCUACCAAAAGGCUUUUCAGGCUUCAGUUUCACAAUAGUCUCACUGGUGUACCUUGGUGAUAUAAAAUUAGCAGUAGCCAAUUCUCUACCAGUGAAGCAUGGUAGAUAUCCACCUUCUAUCAAUAUUGGCUCUUUGGUAACAUUUAUUUUUAUUUGCAUAUAAAAUAACUUGUAUAUAACUUUGUUUUAGUAAAAAUCAGCUGUUUAAACCAUCUCUGCAAACCAGCAGACUUGCAAAAGAUUAAGGAUAGCUCCUAUACAAGGACAGGACUGAAUAUAUUUAUUGCAGGGAGACAGGUGAAAACAAAACCAGUAGCUGAGUAUGACCUGAUCCAGUAAGAAUUAUUUCAGUAGUACAUCCUGUUAGCAUUACAGCUUUAUCCAAAUUUGGUUAUAAAACAAAUGCAAAAUCACUUUCCUCAGAUGUUUUCUGACCAAAGCAUUUUGUCAUCUCUGAAGACCUGGAGUUACAACAACUGUAGAAACCUAUGAAAAAGCUGAUUGCAAAUUUAACACCAGGACUAUUUCACCUGAUAGAAUGAAUAAUUAAAGAGAAGGAAGUGCAAAAAGUAGUUGGUGCUACACACCUUGAGAUCUUGCACAAACCUGAGCAUAAAUAUUUGACCAAAAUAAACCUUGCAUGAAGCCCAGCCUCAUGGAAACCUCCCCAAAACACCACUUACAGAGAGUAUUCAGGCACUGCAUCCUUGAAAGCAGAGAGCUCUCGCACAUAUUCAUUAUAAAACCAUUUCACUUUGAAGUGCAAAUUCAUAUAAUCUGUGCUUUUGCAUAAUCGCUGCUUUUCGUGUUCUGUAAUAGAAGGAGUGGAAAUAAAAGCACUUAAUAGCCUUCUAACAGUAAAUAACAUUCUUGAGCCUCAGUGCACUGGUGACAUAAUAAUACAGGACUUGCAUUCUAAAGCAUAAUUGGUUUGAUUUUUCUCAAUGUAGUAAUAUCCACCAUUUCAAUUUUCAGGAUCUGAGUACCCUUAAGAAAAACAAAACAAACUAAAGACCAAUCCACAAAUGAGGCUUCUCCCCUCUCUUCAUUGCAGUGAGAAAAAACCCACAAAUUUGCUGACUUCCCCUUCUUUAGAUCCUUCUUUGGCUGUUACAAAAUGGUUAGGGAGCUUUUGUGUGGCAAGCUAGAAAAGACAACCAUAGCUGUGUAGAAGCCAGAGGAAGUAACAGCAAUAAAUGUCAGUCCUCCAGGAAACUGUGAAAGCUGCAUUUAUCAGAGCUAAGAAAAAGAAAGAGGAGAAAACUCCACAGCUCUACAGCCAUCUGAUUUAUGGCACAAGGUGAAAAGAUGGUUUUAUAAAGUGGUUUUGAAAUUUUUCAAAUGGACUUCACCUUCUCAGUGUCCUUGUGUUUUCCACAUACUGAAUAUGCAGAUGGAGGUGGGUGGCAGAAAUCAUGCAGCCACCUGUAACCACUUUCUGCAUUUUUAAAGACUGGUUUAAUUUGUUUGGAACAAAUGUCCAUCUUUCUUCCAGGAUUUUGAUCCUUGUUUUAGCUUGUACACUAUGCUCUGCAUUCUUCACCCAGCCACUGCAGACCUGGACAGCUCCAUUGCUUCUCUCUUUAUCCUUGCUCAAAUCUUUCAUUUCCUUCUCCCUCAGCAUGAAACCAGAGAUCCACAAGUUUUGGGCAGAAUAAUCAUACCUUUGUUUGCUGCUCACAGCUUCCUAAAAUCUCCACAAAUCUCAUCUGUUUGAAAUGUCAUGUCACUUGCACAUUCUUCCCUAAGCAAAAGAGUAAUUUCUUCUCCCAGCUCCCUUAAAAAAUGACCUACUACAGGCACUCAGCAGGAAUGAUGUUCUUGUGUAAAUACUAGGUAUUAAGAACUUACCAGCAGCAAACCUCCUUUUUGCUCCUUAUUUCUGCUUGCUUUGCAUUUUACAAAUCUCAUAUAUUUGGAUGGGAACCUAAUUUUCUGUAACAGCAGGAGCAUCCCAUCCUCUGUCACACACUUGAAUGCAGCAUUGGAUUCUCUGUCAGUGAACAUGCACUGUGAAUGACACAUUCUGUGUUUUCAGAUCUAGCCAGUUACAUCAGAAGGAAAUGUUUAGUUUUAUUAUUAUGCCAAAUCAGCACUCCAGUAGCACACCAUGCCAUCCAACAAGUGUUUCAGAUGCAUUUUAUUAUGCAGUGAGUUACUAAAUUUUGUGGAAAUCGGCUUAUGAAGUGCCCCUGUGGGCUUUAUUGCCUUUUUAGCAUUGCAGUAGCAUUUUCACCUUCACUGCCUUUCCAUCACACUCAAGAAAAAUCACUAAAUCAGUUUCUGUCUAAAUAUUGCAUUUAUUCAUCUUCAUGCUACUUGAGAGUACUACAAACUCUCCCCAGCACAGUAACAUCAUUGUUACUAGCAUUAAACAGGACCACAGAGGGAAAGAUCUUUCCUUCUGUCAUGGUUCUGAGGGAUUUUUUUUUUUAGGUAGCAGGUUUUUCACAAACUAGUACAGAAAGCUGGAUGACAUUUGCUCUAUUAAAGGUAUUCUUACAAGGUAGACCAACCUUUCACUGACAAAAAUGAUGUUAUUGCUAUGAAAUUCACUGCACAUCUGCUGCUUAAGUCAUUGCUAAAAUCUAUCCUAGAUUGCAUUCCAAAAGAAUGGAAUUUCUGAAAUGAAUAGCACUUUUUUUUUUCAUUCAAGCUUUUAACAAAUGGGUUGUUAUAUUAUACAGUGUAGCUUGAGAAUGUUUGCUAUAGCAUCACAAACCAAAGAAAUGAUUAUUUCAAUUUUAGAAAUGAGCUACUGCCACUAAUUGGCAAACUUGUCCAGGAGGGUGCAACUUACACAUACCAUUCACUAAUAUUUUCUUUCUAAGGUUAAGAUUUUUAACACAUUAAAAAUGGGCACAAAAGUAAUUCAGGAAUAACUGAACUUUUUUUCUGCAGGCUUUUUUGCCUUGUAGAAAAUAUCUGAAGUCUCUCAGGAUAUUACUUCUAGUUACAUAUAAGUGAAAAAUGCAUCCAGAAUGCCUGACAUUAAUGUAUGAGAACAUCAGCUGUUCUCUUCCAACAAUGUCUGUCCUAUUUGAUAGUAUUUCUAAGUCAACAUUUCUUAUCUCAACGUUUACAUACAAAUACAUACUAUGUGAGCCUUCUGUCAAGUUUUGAAAUUUUUCUACAAAUCUAUUUUCCACAAUCAGCAAACACCUCACAGGAUGUAUGAGGUCAAUAGUAUCCAUGCAUUUUACCCCUUCAGUUCAUAUAAACCAAAGAACCGAGCAAACAGGUGCCCAUGAGUCAGCAGUGACAAUUUUGACUGGAUAAUAGAUGGGUUUAUCCAUGGCAACCAUGGAUUUUGGUUGCAAAAUGCAGCAACAUCACUGUAGGUGUUCUGAAUUUAGAUUAGGACCAAUAGAUUGCUUCCUUAAUUUCUGAACAUCUUGCCCAAGCUAAUGCAAAUGUGAGCCAGCACAGGAUACCUGGAUGCAUUUUGGAAAUCUGUAUCUAUAUUCCUGGAGGCAAAGCUGGUGCCAUGUUUCCCCAUACAGACAUAUCCAUUUUGGGCUUUCUGGAAGACAGCUGUAGUAGCUGCACAAUAUAACUUUUUCUGCAAAACUCCACUCUUGCUUUGCAAAAUUAUUGUCCAACUGAGUCAGUCUGGAACUAAACCUGCCAGCUGUGUCCAGAUGUGCUCACUGGAGAGAUGAUAGCAGAAAUACCUGACCAUUCUCAUAACUGAUUUUAGGUAAGAGAAUCUCCAGUAUAGCAAACCUAAUGCUGAUAAUGGUUUUUUAUUUUGUGCUGCUCCUUUUCUGACACAUUCUUUGAAGUGCAGCAUAUUUUUAUAAGCAUCUACUCAUCUAAUAAGUUUCAUAAAGAGGUCAUGUUCAGUUCCCAUGCUGGCAUAUUGCAUAUCCCUGUGUCAUGCAGCAACAAAAAAUACUGAUAACAGUCUUGUAAGCUGUAACAUCUGUAAAUUUAGUUGUGUGUAUGGGGCACUGUAGCUGCUUUUAGGAAUUGCAGUUCCAGCAGGUGUAACUUUUUUACAUUGCUGAUGCCACUUAGGGUGGGUGGAAUAUCUCCUUAGGGGUGAUGCUGUAAUACACAUGUGCUUCUACAACAGGCACUGUAACUGCAACCACACUGAAAACUGGAAUUCACUGAAAACUCUAUGUUCCAUCUCACUGCUACAAAUCACAGAGAUGGGAACCCCCUUAAGCUUACCUCCAGUAAGCAACAGCACUGAAGGAAAAGAGAUAAAAUCUGCUGUAAUGUUAUUUAUGUACUCAAGAAUGAAGAGAGAUUGUUUUUAGAAGCUAUUACAGGGAAUGCAUUAAUAUAUGAAAAAGAACUUGGUGUGUGAUAAAAUCAGCCCUGACCUGGUGAUGCUGUAUCUGGCAUGUAAUUUAAUUGCAGGCAGCAGUUCUUUUUACAGAAAAAUUUAUAAAGAAACAUAACAGGAAGGAUUAUAAUCCAAGGUACUUUCCUCACAGGCCCUGACCAAACAACACUACUUUGGAAUCAUGCUUGAGUUUUUGUUCAUUUUUCCAGCAAUUGCUGAAGAAAGCUGAGAUGAUUUUCUUAAAACAACAAAUAAAAGUCAUAAUGAUGACUCACUAAGCAGAAAUAUCCACAUGACACUAAGGACAGUAUCAUUUAACAAACUGGAAUAGAAUCUUGCUCACUACAGAAUUCUUUUUUCUUUAUAACCUUGAGGUAAUAACAUCACUCUGAGUUUCCAUGUAAUUUUUGAUAUGUAUUAGUUGCUAAAAAAGGAAAAAAGGGUAAUCUAAAAACCUUCAUAAAAGAUGAACAUGUUAAAUAUUCAGAUAAUCAAAUUGAUAUUUUGUUCAACUCUGAUUUUCCUUAUUUGGGUACAAAGACUCAGAGCAAUUUUUUUUCUACAGCAGUUUCCAAGCCAAUAUUUUUAUAAAAACAUAUAGUUAAGCUGCUAGAAAGAUUCUAAUAAUAUAGUUUUGAAGUAUAUUUCAAAUCUUUGUGAACAAGAACUUCAAGGAAAUUAGUCUGUAAAAUUUAACAAACUGACUACAUAUACAUAAAUAGAUUUUUUUAAAAAAACCCAAACUUGUACAGUUUUCAGGCUUUAUAAAUAAUGUUUCAGGGAUUAAUAACUAUUAUAAAGAAUAUCUAUGCGUAGCAAAUUAUUUUCACACAACCAGCUUGUUUGACUGACAUAGAUUCUACUGCUCUACAGUUUAUUAAACAGAAAUGGUUGAGACUAAGCAUAUGGGAUUUGUGUUUGGAUUAGUUGCAAAUUUUCCCAUCAAAACUCAGCUGUUGUUCUCAACCAUUGUGACAUAAUUCCAUGUUUUUUGCAAUAAUUACCUACCAAUCUUUCUAGAGACUGCCAGCUGCUAUCUAUUACUUCCAGAACUGCUGUUUCAGAAAACCUGCUAUUUCCAAAUUUGCAGUCAUAUAAUUGGGAAGGGUAAUUGGGAACACAAAACUGAGUAUAGCUAGAGGAAGCAAAGCUCCAGUAAGGAAUGAUAGGGAUGGGGUAUGCAUUGGUAUUCCUCCCUCUAAAUCACUGUGGAAAUGUUAACCAAAUGAUGCACCUCUGCUUUGGAUAAAAGUAGAAGUUAAUGUUCAAUGCACCUGAUGCCAGUGCAAUUUCCCCACAAUACAGGAGCAGUUGCUAUGCCACAGCCUCUUUUAUGCUUAUAAUGCUCUAGAUUUAAUCUCUAUACUGCUGAAAGAAACCUGAAGCCUCUGAUUGUAUGAAUGUAACAGCAUACAGGCCACAAAUGAAGAAAAAAUUUAACUCAAAGUUUGUCACUGAUUUAGAAGAAAACAUUGCAUUCCACAAGGAUCUCAUCCCAGGAUUCUUGUACUUUGCUAAAGGCAAUGGAAGUCACUGGUUAUUAACUGAAAUAGACAGUGGAACACAACUAAUUGAUAAUUAUGUAUAAUUUGCAUUAAUUUUUAUAAUGUGAAAUACUACUGACCUUUCUGAAAGGACUCUUUGU
Molecule: long non-coding RNA, 6486 nt
Organism: Haemorhous mexicanus (house finch)
Lineage: Eukaryota; Metazoa; Chordata; Aves; Passeriformes; Fringillidae
Exons: 4
Source: RefSeq, a predicted model, not a curated record